This 497-nucleotide ribosomal RNA is filed under the name uncultured bacterium. RNAcentral describes it as "partial 16S ribosomal RNA". It matches the Rfam family "Bacterial small subunit ribosomal RNA", at positions 28 to 507 of the family's 1533-position model. The record is from RNAcentral.
GAUGAACGCUGGCAGCGUGCCUAAUACAUGCAAGUCGAGCGAACGGACGAGAAGCUUGCUUCUCUGAUGUUAGCGGCGGACGGGUGAGUAACACGUGGAUAACCUACCUAUAAGACUGGGAUAACUUCGGGAAACCGGAGCUAAUACCGGAUAAUAUUUUGAACCGCAUGGUUCAAAAGUGAAAGACGGUCUUGCUGUCACUUAUAGAUGGAUCCGCGCUGCAUUAGCUAGUUGGUAAGGUAACGGCUUACCAAGGCAACGAUGCAUAGCCGACCUGAGAGGGUGAUCGGCCACACUGGAACGGAGACACGGUCCAGACUCCUACGGGAGGCAGCAGUAGGGAAUCUUCCGCAAUGGGCGAAAGCCUGACGGAGCAACGCCGCGUGAGUGAUGAAGGUCUUCGGAUCGUAAAACUCUGUUAUUAGGGAAGAACAUAUGUGUAAGUAACUGUGCACAUCUUGACGGUACCUAAUCAGAAAGCCACGGCUAACUACGUG